Molecule: long non-coding RNA, 809 nt
Filed under: Gossypium barbadense (sea-island cotton)
Lineage: Eukaryota; Viridiplantae; Streptophyta; Magnoliopsida; Malvales; Malvaceae
Description: long non-coding RNA (GBAR_LNC016122)
Source: RNAcentral
CCGUUCAUUUUUUUAUGACGUUAUCUUCGGGAUUUACAAAUAUUAUUCUUUGAUUUGCCCCAAAUCAAGAAAAGGAUUUUAGUCCCCCGUCAUACCCAUACUACCAACAUUAAAACCAGAUCAAAGUUGAAAUCUUUAAUUUACUUAAAACUAAAAGAACAAAGAAACAUAAUAUGCGAAAUCGAAAAGCGAAGAGAAGAAUUGGAAUGUACGUCUCAUGGCAAGUCCCAAAUGGUAAAAGCAGCGACGCUGCUCCACAAGGCGAUGGAAUAUGAGACAACUCAUCGACGGAGGAGCUCCCCGGAGGAAGGACCGUCUACAUCAAUGAGCGUCGCUAUGUGACGUUAUCCUCGGGAUAUACAAACAUGAUCUGGUUUGCCCCGCUUCAUAGAUAAGGAUUUCAAAUCCCCCGUCACGUUAGAUUGAACACAAGAGAAGAAACAAAGAAGAAUAAAACAAUCUUGUAGGACAUAAAUUGAGAACAAAACCUACAAAAUUUUGAAACGACUAAUGCAGAAAGUAAACCAAAAACUGAUAACUUUGAACAUAGAUCAGACCCAAAUCAAUCGAAACUACUAAAAGAUUUGUUAAGGUAUAAGAAGAAAAAUUACUUCACUGCUGCGUCAAAGAAGGCUGUGUUCUGGUGUUAAUUUAUAGCCUGGAUUUGAUCACCACGAAUUGUUAGUGGCCGCCGCUCAUUAGGGUUGCGAUUACGUAAGAAAUAAGAAUACAAUAUUUGAAGGACCAUGAAGACCUAAAUCUCAGACGGCCCAACACCAAAGCCCAAUCUGCAUAUUUGCGGCUUUGCA